AUUGAACGCUGGCGGCAUGCCUUACACAUGCAAGUCGAACGGCAGCACGGGAGCUUGCUCCUGGUGGCGAGUGGCGAACGGGUGAGUAAUGCAUCGGAACGUACCCGGAAGUGGGGGAUAACGUAGCGAAAGUUACGCUAAUACCGCAUAUUCUGUGAGCAGGAAAGAGGGGGAUCGCAAGACCUCUCGCUUUCGGAGCGGCCGAUGUCGGAUUAGCUAGUUGGUGGGGUAAAGGCCUACCAAGGCGACGAUCCGUAGCGGGUCUGAGAGGAUGAUCCGCCACACUGGGACUGAGACACGGCCCAGACUCCUACGGGAGGCAGCAGUGGGGAAUUUUGGACAAUGGGCGCAAGCCUGAUCCAGCCAUGCCGCGUGAGUGAAGAAGGCCUUCGGGUUGUAAAGCUCUUUCGGCCGGGAAGAAAUCGUAUCAGCUAAUACCUGGUGCGGAUGACGGUACCGGCAUAAGAAGCACCGGCUAACUACGUGCCAGCCGCCGCCGUAA
Molecule: ribosomal RNA, 502 nt
Filed under: uncultured bacterium
Lineage: Bacteria
Description: partial 16S ribosomal RNA
Rfam family: Bacterial small subunit ribosomal RNA
Source: RNAcentral